This 430-nucleotide ribosomal RNA is filed under the name Fusobacteriota bacterium. RNAcentral describes it as "Fusobacteria bacterium partial 16S ribosomal RNA". It matches the Rfam family "Bacterial small subunit ribosomal RNA", at positions 355 to 776 of the family's 1533-position model. Lineage: Bacteria; Fusobacteriati; Fusobacteriota. The record is from RNAcentral.
UAGGGAAUCUUCGGCAAUGGACGCAAGUCCGACCGAGCAACGCCGCGCGAGUGAAGAAGGUUUUCGGAUCGUAAAACUCUGUUGUUAGAGAAUAACAAGGAUGAGAGUAGAAUGUUCAUCCCUUGACGGUAUCUAACCAGAAAGCCACGGCUAACUACGUGCCAGCAGCCGCGGUAAUACGUAGGUGCCAAGCGUUGUCCGGAUUUAUUGGGCGUAAAGCGAGCGCAGGCGGUUUCUUAAGUCUGAUGUGAAAGCCCCCGGCUCAACCGGGGGGGGUCAUUGGAAACUGGGAAACUUGAGUGCAGAAGAGGCGAGUGGAAUUCCUUGUGUAGCGGUGAAAUGCGUAGAUAUAUGGAGGAACACCAGUGGCGAAGGCGGCUCUCGGGUCUGUAACUGACGCUGAAGCUCGAAAACGUGAGGAGCAAACAGU